This 468-nucleotide ribosomal RNA is filed under the name uncultured bacterium. RNAcentral's name for it is "partial 16S ribosomal RNA". It matches the Rfam family "Bacterial small subunit ribosomal RNA", at positions 28 to 507 of the family's 1533-position model. The record is from RNAcentral.
GACGAACGCUGGCGGCGUGCUUAACACAUGCAAGUCGAACGGAAAGGCCCUGCGUUUGUGGGGUGCUCGAGUGGCGAACGGGUGAGUAACACGUGAGUAACCUGCCCUUGACUUUGGGAUAACUUCAGGAAACUGGGGCUAAUACCGGAUCGGAGCUCCUGCUGCAUGGUGGGGGUUGGAAAGUUUCGGCGGUUGGGGAUGGACUCGCGGCUUAUCAGCUUGUUGGUGGGGUAGUGGCUUACCAAGGCUUUGACGGGUAGCCGGCCUGGGAGGGGGACCGGCCACAUUGGGCCUGAGAUACGGCCCAGACUCGUACGUGAGGCAGCAGUGGGGAAUAUUGCACAAUGGGCGGGAGCCUGAUGCAGCAACGCCGCGGGCGUGAUGACGGCCUGCGGGUUGUAAACCGCUUUCGCCUGUGACGAAGCGGGAGUGACGGUAAUGGGUAAAGAAGCACCGGCUAACUACGUG